RNAcentral lists this ribosomal RNA (975 nucleotides) under uncultured Isochrysis. Its description in RNAcentral is "partial Bacterial large subunit ribosomal RNA". It matches the Rfam family "Bacterial large subunit ribosomal RNA", at positions 1952 to 2925 of the family's 2925-position model. Lineage: Eukaryota; Haptophyta; Isochrysidales. The record is from RNAcentral.
UAAGGUAGCGAAAUUCCUUGUCGGGUAAGUUCCGACCUGCACGAAUGGCGUAACGACUUCCCCGCUGUCUCAAAUGUGGACUCAGCGAAAUUGAAUUGUCUGUGAAGAUGCAGACUUCCCGCGGUUAGACGGAAAGACCCCAUGCACCUUUACUACAACUUCGCACUGGCAUCAGGAUUGCGAUGUGCAGGAUAGGCGGUAGGCUUUGAAGCGGGGACGCCAGUUCCCGUGGAGCCAUCCUUGAGAUACCGCCCUUCGCACUCUUGAUGUCUAACCGCGGCCCGUUAUCCGGGUCCGGGACCCUGCGUGGUGGGUAGUUUGACUGGGGCGGUCGCCUCCCAAACAGUAACGGAGGCGCGCGAAGGUUGGCUCAGAGCGGUCGGAAAUCGCUCGUUGAGUGCAAUGGCAGAAGCCAGCCUGACUGCAAGACUGACAAGUCGAGCAGAGUCGAAAGACGGCCAUAGUGAUCCGGUGGUCCCGAGUGGAAGGGCCAUCGCUCAACGGAUAAAAGGUACGCUGGGGAUAACAGGCUGAUGAUGCCCAAGAGUCCAUAUCGACGGCAUCGUUUGGCACCUCGAUGUCGGCUCAUCUCAUCCUGGGGCUGGAGCAGGUCCCAAGGGUAUGGCUGUUCGCCAUUUAAAGAGGUACGUGAGCUGGGUUUAGAACGUCGUGAGACAGUUCGGUCCCUAUCUGCCGUGGACGUUUGAGAUUUGAGAGGGGCUGCUCCUAGUACGAGAGGACCGGAGUGGACGAACCUCUGGUGUUCCGGUUGUCACGCCAGUGGCAUUGCCGGGUAGCUAUGUUCGGAAUAGAUAACCGCUGAAAGCAUCUAAGCGGGAAACUAGCCUCAAGAUGAGAUCUCACUGGAACCUUGAGUUCCCUGAAGGGCCGUCGAAGACUACGACGUUGAUAGGUUGGGUGUGUAAGCGCUGUGAGGUGUUGAGCUAACCAAUACUAAUUGCCCGUGAGGCUUGA